Molecule: transfer RNA, 72 nt
Filed under: Camelus dromedarius (Arabian camel)
Lineage: Eukaryota; Metazoa; Chordata; Mammalia; Artiodactyla; Camelidae
Also listed under: 1 other name
Rfam family: tRNA
About the family: Transfer RNA (tRNA) molecules are approximately 80 nucleotides in length. Their secondary structure includes four short double-helical elements and three loops (D, anti-codon, and T loops). Further hydrogen bonds mediate the characteristic L-shaped molecular structure. tRNAs have two regions of fundamental functional importance: the anti-codon, which is responsible for specific mRNA codon recognition, and the 3' end, to which the tRNAs corresponding amino acid is attached (by aminoacyl-tRNA synthetases). tRNAs cope with the degeneracy of the genetic code in two manners: having more than one tRNA (with a specific anti-codon) for a particular amino acid; and 'wobble' base-pairing, i.e. permitting non-standard base-pairing at the 3rd anti-codon position.
Source: Rfam by way of RNAcentral
GAGGGUAUAGCUCAGUGGUACAGCACAUGUUUAGCAUGCAUGAGGUCCUGGGCUCAAUCCCCAGUACCUCCA